RNAcentral lists this ribosomal RNA (178 nucleotides) under Candidatus Magasanikiibacteriota bacterium. Its description in RNAcentral is "Candidatus Magasanikbacteria bacterium partial 16S ribosomal RNA". It matches the Rfam family "Bacterial small subunit ribosomal RNA", at positions 1348 to 1533 of the family's 1533-position model. Lineage: Bacteria; Candidatus Magasanikiibacteriota. The record is from RNAcentral.
AUCAGCCACGGCGCGUUGAAUACGUUCUCGGGUCUUGUACUCACCGCCCGUCACACCACGAAAGUUGGCAGUACCCGAAGGCUCCGCAAGGGGACUAAGGUAAGGUCAGUGAUCAGGGUGAAGUCGUAACAAGGCAUCCGUAGCGGAAGCUGUGGAUGGAUCACCUCCUUUCUGGAGU